UUUCCGUAGGUGAACCUGCGGAAGGAUCAUUACUGAGUGAGGGCCCCUCGGGGUCCAACCUCCCACCCGUGUUUACCGAACCUUGUUGCUUCUGCGGGCCCGCCUCACGGCCGCCCGGGGUCAUUUCCCCCGGGCACGCGCCCUCCGAAGCCACCUGUGAACGCUGUCUGAAUUUACCAGUCUGAGACAAUUAUUAAACGAAUUAAAACUUUCAACAACGGAUCUCUUGGUUCCG
Molecule: unclassified non-coding RNA, 235 nt
Filed under: plant metagenome
Description: partial contains small subunit ribosomal RNA, internal transcribed spacer 1, and 5.8S ribosomal RNA
Source: RNAcentral